AGUGAACGCUGGCGGUAGGCCUAACACAUGCAAGUCGAACGGCAGCACAGUAAGAGCUUGCUCUUACGGGUGGCGAGUGGCGGACGGGUGAGGAAUACAUCGGAAUCUACUUUUUCGUGGGGGAUAACGUAGGGAAACUUACGCUAAUACCGCAUACGACCUACGGGUGAAAGCAGGGGAUCUUCGGACCUUGCGCGAUUGAAUGAGCCGAUGUCGGAUUAGCUAGUUGGCGGGGUAAAGGCCCACCAAGGCGACGAUCCGUAGCUGGUCUGAGAGGAUGAUCAGCCACACUGGACCUGAGACACGGCCCAGACUCCUACGGGAGGCAGCAGUGGGGAAUAUUGGACAAUGGGCGCAAGCCUGAUCCAGCCAUACCGCGUGGGUGAAGAAGGCCUUCGGGUUGUAAAGCCCUUUUGUUGGGAAAGAAAAGAAGCAGGUUAAUACCCCGCUGUUCUGACGGUACCAAAAGAAGAAGCACCGGCUAACUUCGU
This 491-nucleotide ribosomal RNA is filed under the name uncultured bacterium. RNAcentral's name for it is "partial 16S ribosomal RNA". It matches the Rfam family "Bacterial small subunit ribosomal RNA", at positions 29 to 506 of the family's 1533-position model. The record is from RNAcentral.